RNAcentral lists this non-coding RNA (277 nucleotides) under Paenibacillus sp. Its description in RNAcentral is "T-box sequence". It matches the Rfam family "T-box leader". Rfam says of the family: Uncharged tRNA acts as the effector for transcription antitermination of genes in the T-box leader family. T-boxes are found upstream of many aminoacyl-tRNA synthetase genes and some amino acid biosynthetic genes usually in Gram-positive bacteria. The record is from RNAcentral. Lineage: Bacteria; Bacillati; Bacillota; Bacilli; Caryophanales; Paenibacillaceae.
CACACGGCUAUGAGAAGAAAUAGUAGCUUAUCUCUUGAGGUCCAAGCGAACCGGCGAUUGGUGCGAGGCCCGGUACUCCGGAAUAAGUGAAUGGAUCUUCUCGCUUCAACCCGAACCUCCGAUCUCUGCCGGAGCAGUAGGCCUUGACGGCUCUCCACCGUUACUUUGGGAGAUAUGGCAGGGAAAAUGGUGCGUUUCCCCAUUUCCGCGUCAUGCUAAAGAGCGACCGUACAGUCGAAUUUGGGUGGUACCGCGAAAGUUACACUUCGUCCCAUAC